AUGAAUCCAACAAAAUCAAGGAAAUUUGUUAGCGCGAGAGAGUACUAUUGCUUCAAGUUGUGUGUCUGGAAGAAGCUUUUUAACAUCAUCUUGUUUGGGGGGCGCCUUUUCCAACAGUGGGUUGUUGACAUGUACAUCAAGAUUGAGACAAUGAGGCUUGACUGGUAUUCAAAGCCAGCAAAUCAAAAGGUUAUACACGCUGACCUGUACCAGGGUCUUGUUGACACCGUCGUUGCUGGCGAGUCACGCGGUGAUCGGAUUGGCAAGAGAAUCGUGCUUCCACGUACAUUUCCUGGUGGUGACCGUGACAUGCAGCGCAGGUUUCUGGAUGCGAUGGCAAUAUUUCAACGUUGGGGUAAACCGGAUUAUUUUCUCACGAUGACAUGCAAUCCCUACUGGGAGGAGAUAACGCAGGAAUUGUUGCCUGGACAGCUGCCACAAGACCGCCCAGACCUUGUGGCAAGAGUAUACAGAGCUAAGCAACGAAAUAUGAUGGACUUACUAACUAAGGGUAAGCAUUUCAGAGAAGUCGCAGCUUAUGUACAUGUCACAGAGUUUCAGAAGCGAGGUCUCCCGCAUGAGCAUAUACUUCUAAUCAUGAAAGCAAAAAGCAAGUUAAGGACCCCAGAUGACUAUGAUAGGGUGAUAUCUGCAGAGAUACCCGACAAAAAGAAAUAUCUUGUCCUCCAUGAUCUGGUAGUCAAACACAUGUUGCACGGCCCAUGUGGUGCACUCCAGAAAUGCCCUUGCAUGAUAGAUGGACAAUGUCGAUUUCAUUACCCGCGAGAUUUCUGUAAUGCUACAUUACAAGGGAAAGACUCAUAUCCCAUCUAUAGAAGGAGGGACGGCGGGGUUCGAGUAAGGAUCGGAGCAGAUUUGGACAAUAGAUGGGUGGUCCCUUACAACCCCUUUCUGCUUAUGAAAUACAACUGUCAUAUAAAUGUCGAAGCAUGCUCAAGCAUCAAGGCAGUCAAGUACUUAUUCAAGUACAUCUACAAAGGGCAUGAUAAGGCAUCAUUUGCAUUCGAGCAGGAUAUUAUCAAUGAUGGGGGAAUCAUUAAUGAAAUUCGUCAAUACAGGGAUGCACGCUAUAUAUCUCCUCCAGAAGCUAUUUACAGGAUUUUUGGGUUUAAAAUGUUUGGUGUUAGUCCAUCUGUGUUACAGCUGCAGCUUCAUUUGCCAAACAUGCACACAGUCGCAUUUAAGGGUUAUGAAAAUCUGGAAGAUGUUGUCGCUCGCCCAACUUCUUCCAAAUCCAUGCUUACCGAGUACUUUGAGAUGAACAAGAAGUAUCCAGCGGCACGAAAAUGGUUGUACAGAGAGUUCCCAGAACAUUAUAGGUGGAUUGCCGCUAAUAAAAAGUGGCAAACGAGAAGAAGUAAGAGAUCACAGAUUGGAAGACUGGUGUAUGCACACCCUGCUGAAGGAGAGAGGUACUACUUGCGGGUGCUCCUAAGUCAUGUCCGAGGUGCCACUUCAUUUGAUGAUUUAAAAACAGUAAAUGGCAAGCCAUGCACUUCCUUCAGAGAGGCAUGUGAGCACUUAGGCCUCAUUGAGCAUGACAGGACACUGGAUGAUUGCAUGACGGAGGCAGCGACAUUUCAAAUGCCUUCUACUCUUAGACGGUUGUUUGCGACUAUACUGGUAUUCUGUGAGGCAACACAAAUCCGUCAAUUGUGGGACAAACAUCUACCAUCGAUGGCUGAAGAUUACCGCCGCACUAAGUCGAACGAGGCAACACUUGAGCAGAUGGUCCUUAGAGAUGUCAGGGAUCUGGUGCAAUCCAUGGGUAAGGAUAUUAAAAUGUAUGGACUUCCAGAUCUGGUUGACACAGAUGGUUCUUCUGACGCCGAGUAUAGAGAGGUAAUAGAGGAGAGACAAGUUAGAGUUGACCAAGAGCAUCUAGAUCUAUUUAGCUGUUUGAACAGUGAACAAAUGGAUGGUUUCAACGACAUGAUGGAUCAUGUGACGAACCAAAAAAGCCAGAUAUUUUUUGUUGAUGGUCCAGGAGGCACUGGGAAGACGUACCUGUACAAGGCAUUGCUUGCAAAGGUCCGUUCGAUGGGCCUAAUAGCGAUCGCAACUGCUACAUCAGGUAUAGCGGCGUCAAUAAUGCCUGGAGGCCGGACUGCGCACUCCAGGUUCAAAAUUCCAAUCAAGCUCACUAACAACAACAUGUGUGGUUUCACAAAGCAGAGUGGUACGGCAGAGUUGCUUAAACAGGCGUCCUUGAUAAUUUGGGAUGAAGUUGCUAUGACAAAGCGUCAAGCAGUUGAGACGCUUGACAGAUCGCUACAAGAUAUAAUGGAAUGUCCUCUGCCGUUUGGUGGAAAGGUUGUUGUCUUUGGUGGGGAUUUCAGGCAGGUCCUCCCCGUUGUUACACGAGGGACAAGAGCACAGAUCACGGAUGCUACACUGUUGAGAUCCUAUCUGUGGGAUAAGAUCCGCAAGAUACGCCUCACGCGCAAUAUGCGGGCACAGGCGGACCCUUGGUUCUCCGAAUACCUCCUAAGGAUUGGCAAUGGAACGGAAGAAACUAUUGGUGACGACUAUGUGCGUCUCCCUGAAGACAUUGUGAUUGGUUAUACUGAGGAUGAAGAACCUAUUAACAAGCUCAUCGAAGAUGUCUUCCCAUCCCUGCACACCAAUGCUAGGUCGAGGGAGUACAUGAGCAAACGUGCAAUUCUCUCGACCAAAAACGAGCAUGUGGAUGACCUGAAUGACAAGAUGAUCUCUAGGUUUCCGGGAGAAGAAAAGGUAUAUCAUAGCUUUGACUCUAUCGAGGAUGACUUCCAGAAUAAUUACACGAUUGAUUUUCUGAACUCCAUCACACCAAAUGGCUUGCCCCAUGUCUUGAAAGUAAAAAUCAACUGCCCGAUCAUUUUGCUACGGAACCUCGACCUCAUAAUGGCUUGUGUAAUGGAACACGGCUUAUGA
RNAcentral lists this ribosomal RNA (2937 nucleotides) under Triticum aestivum (bread wheat). Its description in RNAcentral is "partial small subunit ribosomal RNA". The record is from RNAcentral. Lineage: Eukaryota; Viridiplantae; Streptophyta; Magnoliopsida; Poales; Poaceae.